This is a long non-coding RNA of Cyprinus carpio carpio, 2777 nucleotides long. The record is from Ensembl. NCBI's taxonomy places the organism in Eukaryota, Metazoa, Chordata, Actinopteri, Cypriniformes, Cyprinidae.
AUGCUGAAAAGACAUAAAGGAAGCAGUCACCCCAGUGGUGUUUGUGGAGAGGUAUUCCUUCAGAAAUGGAGAAGACAGAAAGCUGCAGAGGCAGGUUGGUCUGUGAUAGUUUGUCCCUUUUAUCAAACAUUCCUGCUGUUAUCAUUUGCACAGCAUUUGUUGUUUCUUAAACUGUUGUACGGUCCAAAUACCCACACUUGCCGUCUUUGCACAUUUCCUUUAUUUGGCCCAAGUGAGCAUGAAGAUCACAAUGUGUGUCGAUCUUAACAUGACAAAGUUCCUUUCAACUUUGCAUUUUAAAAUAAACUUCUAAAUGUCUUUUCAAUAGUCCCUAUUAAAGAUGACAAUUUAAUUUGUGGUGCUUCUAAUUAAGUGAUAAAAAGCAGUUGCAAAUGAUGUAAAAAAUUAAUAUACUUUUCUGUGCACCACAAAAACUUUGUUUUACUACUAAAUUAUUCUCAAUUUCUAAUUAUUAUUAUUAAUAUUUCACAAACAUUGGAAAGGUUUGCGUGACCUCCUGUGAGAUCUCUGCAAAAAGUCUCACGAUUAAUUCCAAAACAUGAUGCAUGAUGGGAUACACUAAGCGUUGUAUAGCGCUCUGGAGCAGUAUUGGAGAGGUUUAGUGUGAGUUAAGGACGCUGCGCUUUGGCAUUAUUAAGACCGGGGACAGUCUCAUAGUCAUGUACACACGCUCUCAAGUGACUAAGACCUCAAGUGUGGGUAUCUGGAAACGGGAAAAGUCUUUAAAAUGAUCCCUAAAUACAGUCGCACAUCAAAGUCUUAAUAAUUCAGUAAUUCAAUUUAACACUUGUAUGAUAUUGUACAAGCCCCUGGACAAUCUCAUCUGACACUAUCACAACAUUGGAAAAUCAGUUGCCCCACACAGUCAGAAAGUUUAUAUUGUUCAUUGGCUUCUCAUUAAAUUACUUCAAAUAAGCCCCAUCAGUUCAUGUUCCCACUAUACGUGAUCUCCAUGAGUAGAUAUUGCUAGUUUAAUGUGUCACAUGAUAUAUAUAUUAAAUCUUUGAUUAAUUUGUCAGGACCAGAUCAAUUACACUACUGAUAACAGUCUUGUUAGCAUGUAUUCAUUUUUAAACCAACUCAUAUGAAUAUAGCUUGCUAUGAAUUACUUGCUUUCAAUAAUGGAUGCAUUUAACAUUUAAUUAUACAGCAUCUUUGCAGAGGAUGCUUUCAUGGUCUAAAAAAAUAUGUAUAAGUAAUGUAUAAGUUAAAGUAUAUAGUAAUGUAUAAGUUCAAUGUAAUGAAAUAAUAUUUCCUUUCUUUCUGUCUUACAGGAUUGUUUGCAGAUAAUGCUGUUCUUCUUUUUCAGAAGUUUUUGGUGAGCCAACUCUCACAAACCUUCCUAAAAACUAAAAGAGCUAUUACUGAGUCUCGGCUAAUCUUGCCAUGGUCAGCUCUUCCCAGGUACAUUUGUUUACUCAUCAAAUGCUCUGGUCUGAAUCUUACUUUAAAUUAACUUAAUUAUAUGUUUAAUGAGCAAUAUUAAUUGCACACAUAGUAAGAUUAUCUUGUUUCACAGAAGAGAAGGAAGACCAAGGAAAUUAUUUGCUCAGGAUGAGAAAUGAAGAUGGCCAUCUUGUGCUCAAACAAACAGAAGUCCUCUGGUAUGUGUGUGUUGAAGCAAUGCUGUGUUAUGUGUUACAGGACUUUAUGAUUCCUGUAACUCUAUGAUUAUUCUUUCCAAUGUUUUUAUAUUUAUUUUAUUUUAUUUGAUACAGCUAUUAUAAUUAUAGCAUGUUAGCAAAGUGUGACUGGAACAUUUUUAAUCUAAAAUUUUUAAAAAACACCACCUGUUUUUCUUAAAAGAACACAAGUGUCAUAAAAGUGGUUUAAUUGAUAUAAACACAAAUUUACAUUAUCUCAUUGUUUUAUAAAUGUUGUGUUAUGGAUUGUGGAUUGAUAGUUGAUUGGUUUGAAGCCAGGCCUUAACCCUGCUCAGACUAAAACACAUUUGUGAGAGAAGUCAGGAACUUUGGAGAAAGAUUCUAGAGAAAAAAAAAGACACAUUUACUGCAACAAUAGAUGAAUUCUAGAGUCUCUGAGAACUACACAUGCUAAUGCUGUCUCAUGAGCAGGACCUUUGCCUCUGUAACUUUUUCUUAAUUCUUGCAGAAUGAAAUUUUUAUUGCAGUAUUUUAAUUUGUACAGAUGAUCUCAUCAGCCAAAUGAGGGGUUUUGACCAAGUGAUGCUCUUGAAAGGAGUGAAAGAAGAGGAUGUGGUAAAUUGUCUUAAAGCAGCUUGAAGAAUGGUAAGUGUACAGUACUACAAGGGUCAUAGUUGCUCACCCUGCUAAAAUCACACAGAACAUAAGCUGAGCUCUCUGUCCAUUAAACAACUUCAUCUGGAUUGUUUGUUUCACUUUGACCAGGUCUGGGAUGUUAGGACUGAGAGAUCCUCUGACUGAGAGAAGCUACACCACAUCAGUGCUGGAUAUCAACCACAAACUGUUUCCAGACACGAGAGAAGAAGAUCAUGAUGGGGAGAUGAAACCAGUUUAGAUGUGAUGAUAAGGAAUCAUUAUUUUCUGAAACAGGAUCAAAUGUCUUAUAUGUAUCACAUGAUCUGUAUCACAGUUGACUGGAUGGGACUGUGUGACUCUUUAAGUACAUUUCAUCACUCAUCUGUGUGAACUGAUUAAUAUAUGAGGUUAAUGUAUUUUUGAUUAUGAAUAAUUAUUUUCCUUGAAUCUUAUUUGUCUUGAUGCUACUUUAUCAUCUGUAUAGUCUAUGCUUCAAUAAAAUGAAAAUUGUGAAUA